This 516-nucleotide ribosomal RNA is filed under the name uncultured bacterium. RNAcentral describes it as "bacterial SSU rRNA". It matches the Rfam family "Bacterial small subunit ribosomal RNA", at positions 554 to 1070 of the family's 1533-position model. The record is from RNAcentral.
UUGGGCGUAAAGCGAGCGCAGGCGGUUAGAUAAGUCUGAAGUUAAAGGCUGUGGCUUAACCAUAGUACGCUUUGGAAACUGUUUAACUUGAGUGCAAGAGGGGAGAGUGGAAUUCCAUGUGUAGCGGUGAAAUGCGUAGAUAUAUGGAGGAACACCGGUGGCGAAAGCGGCUCUCUGGUCUGUAACUGACGCUGAGGCUCGAAAGCGUGGGAGCGAACAGGAUUAGAUACCCUGGUAGUCCACGCCGUAAACGAUGAGUGCUAGGUGUUAGACCCUUUCCGGGGUUUAGUGCCGUAGCUAACGCAUUAAGCACUCCGCCUGGGGAGUACGACCGCAAGGUUGAAACUCAAAGGAAUUGACGGGGGCCCGCACAAGCGGUGGAGCAUGUGGUUUAAUUCGAAGCAACGCGAAGAACCUUACCAGGUCUUGACAUCCCUCUGACCUCUCUAGAGAUAGAGAUUUCCUUCGGGACAGAGGUGACAGGUGGUGCAUGGUUGUCGUCAGCUCGUGUCGUGA